This 458-nucleotide ribosomal RNA is filed under the name uncultured bacterium. RNAcentral describes it as "partial 16S ribosomal RNA". It matches the Rfam family "Bacterial small subunit ribosomal RNA", at positions 338 to 795 of the family's 1533-position model. The record is from RNAcentral.
CCUACGGGAGGCAGCAGUGGGGAAUAUUGCACAAUGGGGGAAACCCUGAUGCAGCGACGCCGCGUGAGUGAAGAAGUAAUUCGUUACGUAAAGCUCUAUCUACAGGGAAGAAACACUGACCUUAUGGUCAGCAGACGGUACCUGAGUACGAAGCCACGACUAACUACGUGCCAUCAGCCGCGGUAAUACGUAGGGGGCAAGCGUUAUCCGGAUUUACUGGGUGUAUAGGGAGCGUAGAUGGUGCGGCAAGUCUGGAGUGAAUUGCCGCAGCUUAACUGCGGAAAUGCUGUGGAAAUUGGCGAACUAGAGUGCGGGAGGGGUAAGCGGAAUUCAUAGUGUAGCGGUGAAAUGCGUAGAUAUGAGGAGGAACACCGGUGGCGAAGGCGGCUUACUGGACCGUAACUGACGUUGAGGCGCGAAAGCGUGGGGAGCAAACAGGAUUAGAGACCCGAGUAGUC